AGCCCUGCUUGCAGGGGGGAUUAGUGGCGAACGGGUGAGUAACACGUGAGUAACCUGCCCCCGACUUUGGGAUAAGCCCGGGAAACUGGGUCUAAUACCGGAUAUGACUGCGGAACGCAUGUUUUGUUGUUGAAAGAUUUAUCGGUGGGGGAUGGACUCGCGGCCUAUCAGCUUGUUGGUGAGGUAAUGGCUCACCAAGGCGACGACGGGUAGCCGGCCUGAGAGGGUGACCGGCCACACUGGGACUGAGACACGGCCCAGACUCCUACGGGAGGCAGCAGUGGGGAAUAUUGCACAAUGGGCGCAAGCCUGAUGCAGCGACGCCGCGUGAGGGAUGACGGCCUUCGGGUUGUAAACCUCUUUCAGUAGGGAAGAAGCGAGAGUGACGGUACCUGCAGAAGAAGCGCCGGCUAACUACGUGCCAGCAGCCGCGGUAAUACGUAGGGCGCAAGCGUUAUCCGGAUUUAUUGGGCGUAAAGAGCUCGUAGGCGGUUUGUCGCGUCUGCCGUGAAAGUCCGAGGCUCAACCUCGGAUCUGCGGUGGGUACGGGCAGACUAGAGUGAUGUAGGGGAGACUGGAAUUCCUGGUGUAGCGGUGAAAUGCGCAGAUAUCAGGAGGAACACCGAUGGCGAAGGCAGGUCUCUGGGCAUUUACUGACGCUGAGGAGCGAAAGCAUGGGGAGCGAACAGGAUUAGAUACCCUGGUAGUCCAUGCCGUAAACGUUGGGCACUAGGUGUGGGGGACAUUCCACGUUUUCCGCGCCGUAGCUAACGCAUUAAGUGCCCCGCCUGGGGAGUACGGCCGCAAGGCUAAAACUCAAAGGAAUUGACGGGGGCCCGCACAAGCGGCGGAGCAUGCGGAUUAAUUCGAUGCAACGCGAAGAACCUUACCAAGGCUUGACAUGUGCCAGACCGGAUCAGAGAUGGUCUUUCCCUUCGGGGCUGGUUCACAGGUGGUGCAUGGUUGUCGUCAGCUCGUGUCGUGAGAUGUUGGGUUAAGUCCCGCAACGAGCGCAACCCUCGUUCCAUGUUGCCAGCACGUAGUGGUGGGGACUCAUGGGAGACUGCCGGGGUCAACUCGGAAGGAAGGUGGGGAUGACGUCAAAUCAUCAUGCCCCUUAU
This 1121-nucleotide ribosomal RNA is filed under the name Arthrobacter sp. NCIM 5453. Its description in RNAcentral is "bacterial SSU rRNA". It matches the Rfam family "Bacterial small subunit ribosomal RNA", at positions 72 to 1205 of the family's 1533-position model. The record is from RNAcentral. Lineage: Bacteria; Bacillati; Actinomycetota; Actinomycetes; Micrococcales; Micrococcaceae.